RNAcentral lists this ribosomal RNA (403 nucleotides) under uncultured bacterium. RNAcentral's name for it is "partial 16S ribosomal RNA". It matches the Rfam family "Bacterial small subunit ribosomal RNA", at positions 28 to 526 of the family's 1533-position model. The record is from RNAcentral.
GACGAACGCUGGCGGCGUGCCUAAUACAUGCAAGUCGAACGCAGUGGGGACGGGUGAGUAACACGUGGGUAACCUCCCAUCAGAGGGGAUAACACUUGGAAACAGGUGCUAAACCGAUACUGAUGGAUGAACCCGAGGGGCAUUAGCUAGUUGGUGAGGUAACGGCUCACCAAGGCCACGAUGCAUAGCCGCCCUGGGAGGGGUAUGGGGCACAAGGGGAAUGAGAAACGGCCCAGAAGCCCACGGGGGGCAGCAGUAGGGAAGCUUCGGCAAUGGACGAAAGUCUGACCGAGCAACGCCGCGGGAGUGAAGAAGGGUUUCGGAUCGUAAAACUCUGUUGUUAGAGAAGCGGUAUCUAACCAGAAAGCCACGGCUAACUACGUGCCAGCAGCCGCGGUAAUUC